Molecule: non-coding RNA, 1684 nt
Organism: Pelobates cultripes (western spadefoot toad)
Lineage: Eukaryota; Metazoa; Chordata; Amphibia; Anura; Pelobatidae
Source: the annotation of a GenBank genome assembly
GCGCUAUAGUUUUGAAGUUCUUUUUGGAGAUUUGGAAGGGAAAUUAGUGGCUGGGAUAACGUUAAAAGGACAUCAUCUGCGAACAGAUUGAGUUUGUACUCUUUUUCCCCUACGUUUAUGCCAUGUAUGUUUGGAGUGCGUCUGAUGGCUUCUGCGAGGGGUUCCAGGGCUAAUACAAAGAGAAGUGGUGACAGGGUCACCCCUGCCUAGUCCCAUGUGUGAUGUCGAAUGGGUCUGAUUGGAACCCUGAGGAAGAUACCGCUGCGUUUGAAAGGCUGUAUAGAGCUUUAAUGGCCGUCAGGUAUGUGGGGGGGGGAGUCAAAUUUUUUAAGGGUAGCCUCUAGGAAUUGCCAAUUCAGUCUGUCAAAGGCUUUUUCUGCGUCUAGUGAGAUUAUGAGUCCUUGUUUCUGGUCCAUGUGUAUCGUCUGUAUAAUGUCUAUCACUUUUCGUGUAUUGUCUGAGCCUUGCCUUCCGUGCACAAAGCCCACUUGGUCGUUUGAGAUAAGAGAGGGGAGGAUGUUUUUAAGUUGGUUGGCUAGUAUUUUUGCAUAUAUUUUGGUAUCUGAGUUCAGUAAUGAUAUGGGGCGGAAGUUUUGACAGUGUGUCGGUGGUUUUCCUGGUUUCGGUAGGGUAAUUAUUCUAGCUGCCUGGUAUUCCGCUGGGAAGUUCCCUGUAUGGAGGGUGUGGUUAAAUGCCCGUUUGAGAUGCGGGGCCAGAUGUGGUGUGAUUUUCUUAUAGUAUUCGUUUGUGUAGCCAUCUGGGCCUGGUGCUUUCCCUUGGGGUAAGGAUGUUAUGCAAUCUGAGAUUUCGUUUUCUGUGAUGGGGGCUUCCAGGAGUUGCUUCUGGGUUCCAGACAGGGUUGGCAGUGGAAUGUCCGUUAGAUAGGACUGUAUGCCUGUUUCUGUGAGUUGCGGGGUGUUCGGGUCUUUUGAAAGGUUAUAUAGUUGGCUGUACUAUUGGGCAAAUUCUUUACAUAUGUCUGAGGGUAGGUGGACUUUAUGGCCCUUCUUGUUUACGAUGUGAACUAUCCGUGUUUGUUGCUGUCUUUCUCGUAGGCGUUGCGCUACAAGUGUGCUGGCUCUAUUACCUUGGACGUAUGUGCGAGUGUUUAGUCUAUUUAGCAUGAGGCUGAAUUUGUGGAGUCUGGUCUCAUUAAGUUUGUUUUGGAGUGCAUUGAUUUGUGUUUUGUGGUCUACUGAUGGAUGCUUUUGGUUAUCUUUAUGAAGAUCCUCCAGUUGUCGUUUGUAUUGUGUUGCUUCUUUUUCUGUUUGUUUUUUUAGGUAUGUGGCUCUGCUUAUCAGUGUGCCCCUUAUUACUGUUUUGUGUGCAAGCCAAAUCGUGUGGGGGUUCAGGUCAUUUGAAGCGUUAGUGGAAAAGUAGCUGUGGAGUUCGUUUUCUAGGGUUUUGCAGUAUUGUGUGUCUUUGAGUAGAUAUUCAUUGAGACGCCAUGGGUUUCUGUGUUUGUAUUCGUAUGAGCUCGCUAAUGUUAGUGUCGGUGCAUGGUCUGACCAGUCAACAUUUAGAAUGUCGCAUUCCAGUAUGUUGGCCAUUGUGGAUUCAUGCAUGAAGCAUCCGUCGAUUCUAGAGUAUGUGUUAUGUACUUUGGAGUGGUGUGUGUAGGCCCUUUCUGACGGGUGGAGGGCUCUCCAUACGUCUCUUAAUCCAUACAUGGAUAGCAGAUUCC